RNAcentral lists this long non-coding RNA (952 nucleotides) under Equus caballus (horse). Its description in RNAcentral is "lncRNA (ENSECAG00000055348.1)". The record is from RNAcentral. Lineage: Eukaryota; Metazoa; Chordata; Mammalia; Perissodactyla; Equidae.
AGUAUGACUGGUGUCUUUAUAGGAAGAGGACGAGACCCCAGGGACACACGUGCACAGAGAAAAGGCCAUGGGAGGAUACAGCAAGAAGGCAGCCAUUCGCAUUUCAGAGAGACUCAGAAGAAACCAGCUCUGCCCACACCUUGAUCUCAGCCUUCCAGCCUCCAGGACUUUGAGAAGAGCUCAAGAUGGCAUCUGGAUGAUGCCUACUCAACGGGGAUCAUGUCGCAGCCAAGGAGGAGAAAAUGGAUUCUUAGGCUCCCACCACAAAGACCUGCCACAGCUCCAGCCUCCACUGGAUGACUCCACUCUGGACCCAGAUGAUUAGUUUCACAUGAAAUUGUAAGAAGGAAUACAGAGAGCAGCCACGUACGCUUUCCCUAGUUUCCUGAAAUGGUAACAUUUUGCAAAAUUCCGGUGGACUAUCACAACCAGGUUCUUGACGUUGAUGCAGUCCACAGGCUUUAUCCCGAUUGGCCCAGUUGUACUUGGACUCCUUUGUAUGUGUGCCUGUGUAUUUGGUUCUUUGCAAUCUCAUCUGUGUAGGUUAGCAUUCCCUCUGCCCCUCCACCCCACAGUGGAGAUAAAGAACAAUUCCAUCCCCACAAGGAUCCAUCCAAUUGCUUUUUUAUAACCCCGCCUACCUCCCUCUCAACUCACUCAUUCUCUCUCCUCCCUAACCCCUGGCAACCUCUAACCUGUUCUCCGUUCUAUAAUUUUGUCAUUUCAAGAAGGUUAUGCACCAUUUGGAUUGGCUUUUGUCACUCAGCAUAAUUCUCUGGGAUUCCUCCAGCUGUUGCCUGUAUCAAUAGUUUGUUUCUUCUUAUUACUAAGUGGUACGCGAUGGCAUGGAUGUAUCACAGUCUGUUUAACUAUUUACCUGUUGAAGGACAUCAGGGCUGUUUCCAGGCUUUGGCUACUACAAAUAAAGCUGCUAUAAACAUUUGUGUAUCGA